CACCCUUACGGAUGCAGGAGGGCUCGUCACGCAGCGCCCAGCACAGCCCCAGUGGGGAGCCAGCGGGCCACGCGGGUCUCAAGCCCAUGGCGCGGCCCCUUUAAAUGCAAAUCCACCGGCGGCCAUCGGGGGCAGCACUGAGCGGCCGGACGGCCUCCGCGCCGCUGCCUCGAAGCUUCUGCCGGUGCCGGGGACGCGGCGCGGAUGCGCCCGGGACGCGGUGGAGCGGGGGACGACGGGUGGGCCUGGGCCUGCGCAGCCCAUUGAGCUCCGCGGGAGAGCAGCGCCCAGGUGCUUCUGACGCCGGCAUGGAGCAAGUGCCUGUGGCCUCAGCCAAGGCCCAAAAUCAGGGCUGCUCUGCCCACUGCGCCCCAGGUAAGUCGGGCCAGCGCGUGUGUGUAGCCGGGCCUGGGAUGCGAAGGGGCAGCCCUGACCCGUGUCUCCCACCAGGGCGAAAGCCCCACAAGGCCGAGUGAGCUGCAGCAGCCAUUCUGGGAACCUCUUUUAAGAUGACCCGCACGGACCCGCCAGACCUGUUGGUGUCGACCGUGUACCAGGACAUCAAAGUGGCGGCCCCAGGGCCCGCGUCCAGGCGCCCGCCAUAUGAGCGCCCCGUGGCCCGGCCUGCUGCGCCCGCGCCUUUCAACAAGCGCCACUGCCGCAGCUUCGACUUCCUGGAGGCGCUGGACGGGGCGGCCAUGGAGGCUCUCCCUGAGCCGCCGCCCACGGAGCCCCCGGGGCCCCGCGCCCGGCCCCGCGAC
Molecule: long non-coding RNA, 761 nt
Filed under: Rhinolophus ferrumequinum (greater horseshoe bat)
Lineage: Eukaryota; Metazoa; Chordata; Mammalia; Chiroptera; Rhinolophidae
Description: lncRNA (ENSRFEG00010005269.1)
Source: RNAcentral